This 800-nucleotide ribosomal RNA is filed under the name uncultured Pseudomonadota bacterium. Its description in RNAcentral is "bacterial SSU rRNA". It matches the Rfam family "Bacterial small subunit ribosomal RNA", at positions 70 to 847 of the family's 1533-position model. The record is from RNAcentral. Lineage: Bacteria; Pseudomonadati; Pseudomonadota.
AAAGUCCCCUUCGGGGGAUGAGUAGAGUGGCGCACGGGUGAGUAACACGUAGGUAAUCUACCUUCGGGUGGGGAAUAACCCAGGGAAACUUGGGCUAACACCGCAUAAUGCAGCGGCACCACAUGGUGACAGUUGUUAAAGCGGGGGAUUUUCGGACCUCGCGCCUGAAGAGGAGCCUGCGGCAGAUUAGCUAGUUGGUAGGGUAACGGCUUACCAAGGCGACGAUCUGUAGCCGGCCUGAGAGGGCGGUCGGCCACACUGACACUGACAUACGGGUCAGACUCCUACGGGAGGCAGCAGUCGGGAAUUUUGGGCAAUGGGCGAAAGCCUGACCCAGCAACGCCGCGUGAAGGAUGAAAUCCCUCGGGAUGUAAACUUCGCAAGAAUGGGAAGAAUUAGUAGGGGUUAAUACCCUCUAUGAUGACGGUACCAUUUGUAAGCUCCGGCUAACUCCGUGCCAGCAGCCGCGGUAAUACGGGGGGAGCAAGCGUUGUUCGGAUUUACUGGGCGUAAAGGGCGCGUAGGCGGUCAGCACAAGUCAGUUGUGAAAUCUCCGGGCUUAACUCGGAAAGGUCAACUGAUACUGUGCGACUAGAGUGCGGAAGGGGCAACUGGAAUUCUCGGUGUAGCGGUGAAAUGCGUAGAUAUCGAGAGGAACACCUGCGGCGAAGGCGGGUUGCUGGGCCGACACUGACGCUGAUGCGCGAAAGCCAGGGGAGCGAACGGGAUUAGAUACCCCGGUAGUCCUGGCCUUAAACGAUGGAUGCUUGGUGUCUGGAGUUUUAUAGUCUCCGGGUGCC